RNAcentral lists this ribosomal RNA (372 nucleotides) under uncultured organism. Its description in RNAcentral is "partial 16S ribosomal RNA". It matches the Rfam family "Bacterial small subunit ribosomal RNA", at positions 527 to 896 of the family's 1533-position model. The record is from RNAcentral.
GGAGGAGGCAAGCGUUGUCCGGAAUUAUUGGGCGUAAAGAGCGCGUAGGCUGUUUUCAAGUCAUAUGUGAAAACCUCAGGCUUAACUUGAGGACUGCAUAUGAAACUGGAAAACUUGAGUGCAGUAGGGGAAAGUGGAAUUCCUGGUGUAGCGGUGAAAUGCGCAGAUAUCAGGAAGAACACCGGUAGCGAAGGCGGCUUUCUGGGCUGCUACUGACGCUGAGGCGCGAAAGCUAGGGGGAGCAAACAGGAUUAGAUACCCUGGUAGUCCUAGCUGUAAACGAUGGACACUAGGUGUGGGAAGUUAUCGACGCUUUCCGUGCCGGAGCUAACGCAUUAAGUGUCCCCGCCUGGGAGUACGGCCGCAAGGCUA